Molecule: ribosomal RNA, 493 nt
Filed under: uncultured bacterium
Lineage: Bacteria
Description: bacterial SSU rRNA
Rfam family: Bacterial small subunit ribosomal RNA
Source: RNAcentral
GAGUUUGAUCCUGGCUCAGAUUGAACGCUGGCGGCAGGCCUAACACAUGCAAGUCGAGCGGUAGAGAGAAGCUUGCUUCUCUUGAGAGCGGCGGACGGGUGAGUAAUGCCUAGGAAUCUGCCUGGUAGUGGGGGAUAACGCUCGGAAACGGACGCUAAUACCGCAUACGUCCUACGGGAGAAAGCAGGGGACCUUCGGGCCUUGCGCUAUCAGAUGAGCCUAGGUCGGAUUAGCUAGUUGGUGAGGUAAUGGCUCACCAAGGCGACGAUCCGUAACUGGUCUGAGAGGAUGAUCAGUCACACUGGAACUGAGACACGGUCCAGACUCCUACGGGAGGCAGCAGUGGGGAAUAUUGGACAAUGGGCGAAAGCCUGAUCCAGCCAUGCCGCGUGUGUGAAGAAGGUCUUCGGAUUGUAAAGCACUUUAAGUUGGGAGGAAGGGCAGUAAAUUAAUACUUUAGCUGUUUUGACGUUACCGACAGAAUAAGCACCGG